GCUGCGCCACAUUAGUGGGCACUGGCAGGUGUUUGCGCCGGAAGUGCAAUUAGUGAUUGAACACAAUGGCGUCACAUCGUCUGGUCGUUGUUCGUGGGUUUUUAAAUGUUUAAAAGUUAUUUGGUAAUAUAUGACUUUAUAUAUAACUGUAAUCAGGCGGUGGGCAGAAUAAGUCGACCACAGAGGAAGAACAGUGAACCAAAGACAACCAAAGGACUUGUCUCAGUCAACACCGUCCUCGACUCCGACUCACCUGCCGCCAUUUUUCAUCCAAUCAGUGGGCGGGGGAAAGAAGAUGAACCAGGUGCAUUCUAUAUAAUGAGUUUUGGUUGUGGCUGAGGACGUGCGAGAAGGAAGUGGUGUCACCGUGAGGAGGAGGAUGAUGAGGCCUAGAAGAGAGCAUGAUACGCAUGCAGUCAGGUGUCUGGGUCAGUGAUCUUGAGUGUUCGGGCCACAUUCCAAGACACGUGAAUCAUGGGGACAAUGGACUUCACCUUCUUGACUUCAUUCCACUCAAAUCUCUCCAGGGCCAGCUGGUACUGGUAAGCUGCAAACACAGUUGACAUUUUGAUGAGUGACGAUUUAGUUCUGCUUGCAGGUGGCGCACUCCUCACCAUUGAGCGGUCCCACAUUCCAUGCAAUGUUGUUGCACCAGCCCACCGCCUGUACCCAGUGAACGGUCCCAGCAUUGAUCCACACCAAGUCUCCUGGCCUCUGGAUGAAACGGUACACUGGGAUUUUGGCGUUGUAGAGGUCCUCCAACACAGGCCACCAGGAGCCCGUCAAAUAAUCCACCCCAUGCCUGAGUCAGACACGUCACAUUGCAUGUCACAUUUUCAAUAAUAGUCAAUGAAAAGUGGGUAUCUUCAUGAGGACUCACUUCUCACAGAAGUCAUUGAUGGCAUGCCAGUAGUUCUCGUGCACAGAGAACCACUCGCAGUCUCCAGGGCCAAUGUUGAUGUUCACGGAGCAAAAGUUGUUGUUCUCUUGGUGGCCUAUGCGGUGAACAAACAGGACACUUUUUACUCCAGCUGGGGCAUCUCUGUGUGUGCCAUUUGUGCAUUUAUUACUUGUGACUGGUUCCUAGUCAAAUGUUAACAAGUUAUGAGCAGGAAUGCUAGUUGCCAUUCAGACAAGUACAUGCCCUGUGAUAUGAGAAUUAAAAAGCUUGCCAUCGGGAUGAGCUUACCUGGCGUUCUGCUGCCUGGAACCUUCAUGUAUAGCUGGACAGUGUUCAUGCCCAGGAUGGUGUGUCCCACAUGGCUCAGCAUGUUCCCACUGGAUGCCACGCGCAUGAACGCUGGCAGCUUCUGCAAUUCCUGCAGCUGGGGCUUCCACCUAAAAGACAGCCGUUGUUCAACUUGCAGUCAUGUGACUGACAGCCAGCAUCUUGAUUGGGGUGCUUUUACCUCUUGGGGUCUGAGAGGUCAAUGUUGGUGCCAAAUUUAAUGAUCUUGCCAACUGCUUUCUGGUCACCGCUGUGGAAAACCACCCAAUGUGUGAUUCCUAUUGCUUCCAAGUGUUUUGUAAAACUUUGCAACUCUCCUCACCUGCUACUGUCUUUUGUGUUGUCUUUACUCAGUGCUUCCAAGCUGCUGGAUGGCUUCUUGUCAUCUUCUUCAUCCUCCUCGUCACUGCCUUUCUCCUCCUUCCAAACCCGUGUGUUUAUUAGUCAGCUGAUCAACACAGAGCCAGUAGUGUGUAGCUAAGGUACUGUCUUACCUGCAGGCUCUCCUGGAAGCUGGAAGCCUGGUACUGAGCGUACUUAGCAAUGGUGGUAUGUGAGCGGCUGCUCUCGCAAGGCCACGUCUGGCCUGUCCCACUGGGGUCCCAGUUCUCGUCGGCUGGCUGCUGCACCUGAGUCCUCACCUCCACCGCCUGCUCUGCGUUGGCCUCCACCAGAGACUUUGUAGAAAACAAGCCCAAGUCUGAAAAAUUAGAGUGAGCAUUGUUAGCAUGUUUAUUUGCUGAGCGAAAACGCAAAGCAACUUUUAUCUAAUUAGCAACUUACUGAGCCGCAGAGAUCCAGCCAGGCCUCUGAUGACUGUGACAGGAUUCUUUGGGUCAGUACAGAACUGCAGCAGUACAGGGGAGAAGGCGUCCCUCUUGCUCUCCAGCUGCACAACACAAAAUGGACAAGAAACCAUAAGACUAGUCAAACACAUGGACAAAUGUCAACAUUUACAUUUUUAUCAGCUUGUGUCAAAUGUGCCAUAUACUUAUAUUUUAGUGUUGUAUAGUUUUUUUUUUUUUUUUUUUUACACACUACCUUAGACUUUCUCAAUAGCAUUAGCAAAAAAUUGAUCAUUUACAAGGUGCAAUAAUAUAUGAAAUCUAUUUUAAAUACUGUAUACUCUAAUUAGUGUUAAGAAAAUUGAGAAAUGAAUUGAUUUAAUGUAUUUUUUAAAUCUCACCUACACAUAGCUGAGAAAAGCCCUCACUUUGAGGUGUCCCAGCCAUUUGAGACUACAGUAGUCCCAAGCGCUGCCUGCAACCUUUAGUUUUGACCACCAGGGGAAGAUCGCUGUUCUUUUGCCAAUCUCCAUAUCAUUUGAGAGUAAAAGUAAGAUAAAACCUCAGGUCCAUAUAAAGCGUUACACAUGAGAAAACAGAGCACUUUUCUGAGUAAUACACGUCUUGAACACUGAACCAACUGAGAUCCACUGAUCUUUGGUAGAGUAACAGUAAAAUUAAGAGAUUAAAAAUGUGAUUAAUGCAAUUUUUUUUAAAAUUACGCAAUCAAUAUGCCUGUAAUUAAGUGCAAAUAAUGCACUACUUUGACACCCCUAAUCUUGAAUUAGUCAAAGCCCAUCAUACAUGCAUUGAUUUUUGUACAUUUGCAGCUAUCAUGUUAAAUCUGGGGAUUUCAAUUGUCAAUAUUUCCUAUCAUUGGUGUUACAAUUUUCGGUCUAUUUGGGGAAUAACAUGCAGAAGCCAAAAUGGGUGUGAGAGGUGGUCUACUCACAUAGAUGCUGGGAGUUGGCGGAUUGAGUUUCUCGCUUGGAAUGUGCUCCUCGGACGCCAUGAUUGGCUUAACAGAGAAAGCCGGUAGAAGGUAAGAUUCCCUGAACUUCCCUUUCACUCGGGCGCCCCUUGAACAAGAUGCAGACAACAUUCACAUAUCUCAGAUGUUAACAAGAAAAGCAUGCUCUUCCUGUGUCGGCCUCACUUGCAAGAGCAGAUGAUUUCAGCGGCAGAGUUGCUGAUGCUGAUGUCUUCCAAGGGGAUCCUCUUGUCCUCCACCUCAGAGGCGAUAAAGGUCUCUCGGUCGCCGCUCUCCACUUUGAUCAGCCGGAUCUUCAGCUCCUUCGGGGGCCCGUCCGACAGCGCCUUCAGCCUCAGCAAGUUGGUGGAAUCAAGCGAGGAGCCGGAUUGGGCGCCUUUUUUCGACCGCCACUCGGCAUGCUCACCCUCGCUAGAGGAGGCCGUACCAGCAGUAUCCUUGCGCCUCUUUUUAUCGGAGUCGUGAUUACGGUUCUUUCCCAAGCCGUCUUUGCUCUGGAGGAUGAGGUCGCAAAGAAUCCGCCGGUCCUUCUUGUCCUUGUGGCUCUUUCCCUCCCGGUGCUUCUUGUGACUGCUGCUAGAAUGUGAAGACGAGGAUGAAGAGAAGGCUACCUCGUCCCUCUUUUCUCUGUGCUUCUUCCUCUCUUUCCUAUCUUCGUGUUUCCUCUUCUUCUCUUUCUCCCUCUCUCUGUCCUUGUGUCGCUCCUUCACCUUCUCGGUCUUGUGUCCACCUUCCACUUUCCCGGGCCGUGCAUCUUUUUCCACAUUGAGGAGUGGUGUUCGAGCGAGCAUGACC
Dunckerocampus dactyliophorus (ringed pipefish) is the source of this 3799-nucleotide long non-coding RNA. RefSeq lists it as uncharacterized. The transcript has 4 exons. NCBI's taxonomy places the organism in Eukaryota, Metazoa, Chordata, Actinopteri, Syngnathiformes, Syngnathidae. The record is from RefSeq and is a predicted model, not a curated record.